Molecule: ribosomal RNA, 680 nt
Filed under: uncultured archaeon
Lineage: Archaea
Description: bacterial SSU rRNA
Rfam family: Archaeal small subunit ribosomal RNA
Source: RNAcentral
GAUAAAUACUGGAAGGUUUUAUUCUUCAAAGCUUCGGCACCUGAGGAUGGGACUGCGUCGGAUUAGCUUGUUGUCGGGAUAAUUACCCGACAAGGCGAUAAUCCGUACGGGUUGUGAGAGCAAUAGCCCGGAGAUGGAUUCUGAGACAUGAAUCCAGGUCCUACGGGACGCAGCAGGCGCGAAACCUUCACAAUGCCUGAAAGGGUGAUGAGGGAACUCUGAGUGACUUCGCAAUGCGAAGUCUUUUGCCAAGUGCAAAAAGCUCGGUGAAUAAGUGGUGGGCAAGACAGUUGCCAGCCGCCGCGGUAAUAACUGCGCCACGAGUGGUGAUCUCGUUUAUUGGGCUUAAAGCGUUCGUAGCCGGUUUUAUAAGCAUCUGGUGAAAUCCGAUAGUAAACUAUUGGGCUGGCUAGGUGUACUGUAAGACUAGGGACCGGUAGGGGCCGGGAGUACUCCUAGGGUAGGGGUUAAAUCCUUUAAUCCUAGGGGGACUACCAGUGGCGAAGGCGCCCGGCUAGAACGGGUCCGACGGUGAGGGACGAAAGCUGGGGGAGCGAUCCGGAUUAGAUACCCGGGUAGUCCCAGCUGUAAACGAUGCCCGCUUGGUGUGGUGAAACUUUCGUGGUUUUGCCGUACCGUAGCGAAAGUGUUAAACGGGCCGCCUGGGAAGUACGACCGCA